This is an RNA transcript of Medicago truncatula (barrel medic), 3945 nucleotides long. It is a transcript of the gene named squalene monooxygenase SE1, with no coding region annotated. Lineage: Eukaryota; Viridiplantae; Streptophyta; Magnoliopsida; Fabales; Fabaceae. The record is from RefSeq and is a predicted model, not a curated record. The transcript has 12 exons.
UUUUUAGUGAAGGGAGUGAUAAUAAUAAUAAGAAUUUUUCAAAUAAGAGGGAUUUACAAUUUUUUGUAUGCAUUUCCAUUAAAAAUAACUACUGGCAUAAACAUUUCACCCAAGUUGGUAGGUUUUCAGUGGUGAAUUAUCUUCAGAAAUUGGUUAUUCAACAAAUUUAAGUGAAAUUGUUUUGAUGAAUAACAAGUUUUCAGGUAAAUUUCCUUCAGUAUGGUUUGUUUAUAUGCAUCUUUAGCGAUCUAAACUAAAAUUAUUGAUUGCAGGACUGGAUUGUCAUCAUUGUUUUAAAUUGUGGUUGUGGUCGCAGUUUUGUUGGGAACCUAAAAUGCAUUAAGAUUCUGGUAUAUCUGCUUUUCCUGAGGAAGACAACAUAUUCUUGUGGAAAGGAACAAUAACCGGAAACAAAGAUGCAGUGUUUGAAGCUAAUAGAGUUUCCUCUUAAAGAAGCAAAAAUAUAUAUCCAUGAAGGUCAAGUGUUUCAAUAUUUGUAAUCUCUUUUUAGUGUUUCCCGUGUUUGUGUUUUUCAAUUUCCAGUAGCAAUAUAUGAUGGAUCAAGUGAUGCAUUUAGUUGAUAAUCGAAAUAUAAAUUGGAAGAGUAAAAUUUAGUAUCUGAUUUUCUCAGCUGCUUUGGUAACUUCAUAGUAUCUGAACUUUUAGGAUUGCUUCAAUGAGGUUUAACUAAAAUGUGUUCAGAAGUAUGUUGCAUUUACUUUAUUUUUGAAUAACAAGAGUUUCAACAUGAGUUAAGAUAAUAAAAUGAUUUUCCAUGAUUGUUAAGAUGCAAAUGAUAUAAAGAAUAAAUGUAUUUUUGAACUGAUUAACAUGAGUUCCAUUUGGUUUGAUGUUCUAAUGUAUAGUUCUGAUUCUGUUUGGUGAUUUGGAUAGAUUAUAUUUUUCCUUGAGUUGAACAAGUACAUGCAUUUGUGUUGUGUUGCUCUAUGUUUGGUUGUGUUGUUCCUUUAAGGACAAUUCCAGUUUUUAGAUUGUAUUGAGUUUUAUAGUAUAGAGAUUUCCCAAAAAUUAUGGUAUAGAGUUUUGGAAUCUUUUUACUGUGGCAAAUUCAUGAAUGUGUCAAAACUGAAGUUACAGUCAUUUUGGUUUCCUUCAGCUGUUGUUAGGUUUGCUUGUGCACAAAUCCUUUUUUUGUAGUGAAGACAAGGUUGCAGCUUGAAACCCUCUUCAUCAUGCACGACCAUACUCUAGGCUAUAUGGUCUGAUCUCCAUCUUACAUUGGCUAUAUAUUUUGAACUGAAGAAAAUGGUUGUGUAUUAACCUGCUGGCAGGACAGGUCUUUGUUUUACAAGGUUUGCAAACCACCUUAUCAGUCAAGGCUUGCUUCAUUUAGAGGUAUCAAGGUGUUUUCCUUUUGUGUUCUUUUUUGGAUUUGGCUUCAUAGUGGUGCUAUUGAUUGUGCUAGAAUAAACAUGGGUUAUGACUUAUCAUAUUGCGUACAACAUCAAGCAAUAUGAUAAGGGGGUUACACUGCAGAUUCUGCCACUUUAUGGAAAGCACAAGGUGUUACACUUCAACAGAACUGAUGCAUAUCUAGCAAAUAACGGUCUGGUCUCCCACUUGAUCUACAGAAACUCAGGUGUCGUGUCAAUUACCAGGCUAUUAAAUUCACUCCUCAAAUUGAGAAUUUAGGGCGAAAAUUGAUUCAGAUGCUUCACGAGAAGGGACCUUUUGUGGCACUGCAUCUUAGAUAUGAGAUGGACAUGUUGGCUUUCUCAGGUUUUACCCACGGUUGUUCAAAGAAAGAAGCCGAAGAGCUUAAAAGAUUGAGGUAUGUGCAUUCCCUUGGUGGAGAGAAAAGGAGAUAAUUUCUGAAGAGAGGAGAUCACAGGGUCUAUGUCCUUUGACACCAGAAGAGGCGGCCUUAGUUCUUCUAGCCUUAGGUUUUGGUAGGGAGACACUGAUAUAUAUUGCAGCUGGUGAGAUUUAUGGUGGUAAACGUAGGCUUGCACAACUCAGAGCAGCAUUUCCCCAAAUUGUGAAAAAGGAAAUGUUGCUGACACGUGAUGAUAAAAAUUCAACUUCAAGGUUUUAGUCAAAACUUAUACCAAAGAGCAGCCAAUUUUAGUUGAUUUAUGUUUAUUACAAUGAGAAGCAACAGAUUAUAAGCAAGAACUUGAUGAGGCUUUACAAAGAGAGAUGAGGGAAGAAGACGAGGAAAUUGAAGCUGAUGGUGCCAAUUACCAGCUUGAAAUGAUGAGGUGCUUUUGAGAGGUCAAUGUGGACAAUAAUACCGUUGGAUGGUACCAGUCUACAUUGCUUGGCUCCUAUCAAACUGUGGAGCUGAUUGAAACCUUUAUGAAUUACCAGGUCGCGUACAGAUAGAUCAAUCAAAUAAAGAAACUGAUUUGCUCAAAAAUAACAAUGACUUGAUUUAUGCUUCAGUUGAUAAAACUUCUGAAGGUGUUUUUGAAGCUCUUCGCCCAGCCUCUGAAGCAUUAUUACAUGACAUUCCAUUUGUUGGUAAAGAUUCAGUUGUAGUCCAAGAAAUUUCUUACAGUGAGAUCAUUGCAAAGGGAAGUUUAGUGGUAAAUGGUAUCCAGUCAAAGUAGGAACAAGUAGAAAAUCGACUUUAUAACCAGGGUGUUGGGGAUAUUCCAAAAUAUGUGAAUCUUAAAUUGUCACUAGCAAUGGACUGGCUUGAGAUAUCAUGGGAUGAACUGCGGAUCAAAGAACGCAUUGGUGCUGGAUCAUUUGGGACAGUGUACCGUGCUGAAUGGCAUGGAUCACCAGUGGCAUCUACAAUAAACACAUUAGUAGGUACAUUGCACAAAGUGUUUGGUGCAUCUCCUGAUCCAGCUUGCAUUGAAAUGCACCCAACAUGUUUUGAUUAUUUGAGCCUUGGAGGUGUUUGCUCAGACGGACCAAUAGCUCUACUCUCCGGUCUGAAUUCGCGUCCAUUGAGCUUGGUUCUACAUUUCUUCGCGCUGGCUGUAUACGGUGUUGGCCGCCUCUUGAUACCGUUUCCUUCUCCAAAAUGAAUGUGGAUCGGAGCUAGAUUGAUUUCUGGUGCAUCAGGUAUCAUUUUCCCCAUUAUCAAGGCUGAAGGAGUGAGACAAAUGUUUUUUUCCAGCAAGUGUGCCAGCAUAUUACAGAAUGCCUGCUGUCAUAUAUGAUUGCAGGAUCUCCAUGUCAUGAGCUACAUUGGGAUUAAAGUCUUGAUCGAAACUUUCCCAGGUUAAAAAAUCUCUUUACAGGACCAUUGUUAUAACCAGGUUAUACCUUUCUAUUACUCAAAGAUCCAUCUUAUUGCCUCUUUUAUUGAAUCUUUUAUAUGUAUAUUAAGAAGACUACAACUAAGGGAGCAACAAUCUAAAGCCGUUCAUGGUGUUUUCAUAAAUUUGUUUAAUUCAUUUUUCAAAUAAGAAGCGGUGUUUUUAUGUUUGUUUGCGUGAUAAUUAUAUAUUGCUUGUGUGUAUGUCGUUGGCUUUUAAUUGAGCUAACAUAAAGGUUUCAGUGUAUUAGACCUCAUACCAAAUCUCAAACAAACAAUGAACUUAUUGGUCAGCAAGGAUAUCAAAACAAGAUAUAAAGGAUAAUUUUACAAAAGUGCACAGAUUACGAAAAGCUAAAAAAGCAAAUGGAUAAACUCAAAAGAAAGCAAGCUGAUUAUCAUGAAGCAGCUGAGAGCAAAUUAUCAAAACCUGCACUGAAACAGCUAUAUAGAGAGGUUUUUGAUGCGGUACACAAAAACACAACUCAUCACAAUCAAGAUGAUAAUCAAGCUUGGUGAGCUGAAUUUGGAACAAUUAAUCUAUCAAGGACGUUAGUAAUAAUGUGAUUGUUGUUGAUUCAAUUAGAAGUCAUGAGUUUGAAUUUGAUCCUACUUGAAUCAAAAAAUAUUCAUUCAUAAAUAGAUAGAUCACUUGAGAUAUUAUAUUGUAUUCUUUAAGCAUUGUGAACAAUUGGUUUGUGGAACUUGAA